GUGAGUGCCUCUCGGGAUGUGGCCAAGUCUGAGUGAGACUGGCCAGCAAAGAAUAAGGUCUCCGAAUCCACCGGAGCCUCAGUUGCCUUGCUGGGCUUGCUGGCUGCCUGGCUUCUAGGAGCAGAGGAGGCUACAGAGCAGCGAGGCUGCACUACAACCACCAGAACCACCUUUCGGCCCAAAGGAACAUUGGACGCUACCACCUACCAGCGACGUGACCCUGAGCAAAUUGCCAGUGCCCUAUUUCUGCCUCUGCAGCUAGGGCAGGUUCCCAGAAGAUGAAAG
RNAcentral lists this long non-coding RNA (285 nucleotides) under Cavia porcellus (domestic guinea pig). RNAcentral's name for it is "lncRNA (ENSCPOG00000038431.1)". The record is from RNAcentral. Lineage: Eukaryota; Metazoa; Chordata; Mammalia; Rodentia; Caviidae.